GGACAACUCAAUCAGUAGAGCAUGAGACUCUUAACCUCAGGGUUGUGGGUUAGAGCCCCACAUGGGCACUG
This 71-nucleotide transfer RNA is filed under the name Podarcis lilfordi (Lilford's wall lizard). RNAcentral describes it as "tRNA.Lys". The stretch from base 5 to 61 matches the Rfam family "tRNA", at positions 9 to 63 of the family's 71-position model. From Rfam's summary of the family: Transfer RNA (tRNA) molecules are approximately 80 nucleotides in length. Their secondary structure includes four short double-helical elements and three loops (D, anti-codon, and T loops). Further hydrogen bonds mediate the characteristic L-shaped molecular structure. tRNAs have two regions of fundamental functional importance: the anti-codon, which is responsible for specific mRNA codon recognition, and the 3' end, to which the tRNAs corresponding amino acid is attached (by aminoacyl-tRNA synthetases). tRNAs cope with the degeneracy of the genetic code in two manners: having more than one tRNA (with a specific anti-codon) for a particular amino acid; and 'wobble' base-pairing, i.e. permitting non-standard base-pairing at the 3rd anti-codon position. Lineage: Eukaryota; Metazoa; Chordata; Lepidosauria; Squamata; Lacertidae. The record is from RNAcentral.